Molecule: unclassified non-coding RNA, 93 nt
Organism: Cavia porcellus (domestic guinea pig)
Lineage: Eukaryota; Metazoa; Chordata; Mammalia; Rodentia; Caviidae
Rfam family: Y RNA
About the family: Y RNAs are components of the Ro ribonucleoprotein particle (Ro RNP), in association with Ro60 and La proteins. The Y RNAs and Ro60 and La proteins are well conserved, but the function of the Ro RNP is not known.
Source: Ensembl
GGCUGGUCCGAUGGCAGUGGGUUAUCAGAACUUAUUACAUUAGUGUCACUAAAGUCGUAUACCACUCCCCACUGCUAAUUUGACUGGCUAAAA